Molecule: ribosomal RNA, 301 nt
Filed under: uncultured bacterium
Lineage: Bacteria
Description: partial 16S ribosomal RNA
Rfam family: Bacterial small subunit ribosomal RNA
Source: RNAcentral
CAGUAGCCGCGGGAAUACGUAGGGUGCGAGCGUUGUCCGGAAUUACUGGGCGUAAAGAGCUCGUAGGUGGUUUGUCGCGUCGUUUGUGGAAUACCGCAGCUUAACUGCGGGGUUGCAGGCGAUACGGGCAUAACUUGAGUGCUGUAGGGGAGACUGGAAUUCCUGGUGUAGCGGUGAAAUGCGCAGAUAUCAGGAGGAACACCGAUGGCGAAGGCAGGUCUCUGGGCAUUAACUGACGCUGAGGAGCGAAAGCAUGGGGAGCGAACAGGAUUAGAUACCCCUGUAGUCCCUGUCUCUUAUU